RNAcentral lists this ribosomal RNA (301 nucleotides) under uncultured bacterium. RNAcentral's name for it is "partial 16S ribosomal RNA". It matches the Rfam family "Bacterial small subunit ribosomal RNA", at positions 509 to 808 of the family's 1533-position model. The record is from RNAcentral.
CAGUCGCCGCGGUAAUACGUAGGUGGCGAGCGUUGUCCGGAUUUAUUGGGCGUAAAGGGAGUGUAGGUGGUCUUUUAAGUCUGAUGUGAAAGCCCACGGCUCAACCGUGGAGGGUCAUUGGAAACUGGGAGACUUGAGUGCAGAAGAGGAGAGCGGAAUUCAUGUGUAGCGGUGAAAUGCGUAGAUAUAUGGAGGAACACCAGUGGCGAAGGCGGCUCUCUGGUCUGUAACUGACGCUGAGGCUCGAAAGCGUGGGGAGCAAACAGGAUUAGAUACCCCUGUAGUCCCUGUCUCUUAUACA